CUAAAGCAAAGGGGGCGUAUGAAAAAAGACAGAAAUUAUAUGACCAAAAGUGAAAAAUAUAUCGGAUUAAUAAGGCCGCCGUGCGUGAAAAGUGCCAAAAAUACUAAUAAUAAUACAAAAAGAUUCAAAGUCACAAAUAAUCUACCUACUUAAUAGCAGCUAAUUUUAGUGCUCCUUGCCGUUAAUCGCCCACUGCUGAGCAUCAUAGGCCUCCCUUCGUGUACACGUACGCCACUUAUCCCGGUCCUGAGCUAGUCUCAUCUAGAGGUGCCCCGCUGUUUUUCGAAUGUCGUCUACCCAACGAGCCAACGGAUGCCAAGCAGUUUUUUACACCGGAAGGCGACCACCAUUCUGUCAACAUUUUGUUCCACCUGCCAUCACUCUGCCUGACAACAUUUCCCGCCAUUUCAAUUUCGAAAUGACGUCACCCACGUCUCGCACCUUGGUGCGGCGUCGGAUCUCGACAUUCUUCACUCGAUCUUAAAGCUUAAUGCCGAGCAUGGUGCAAUUUAUGGCUCUCUGUACUACAUAUUUACAUAAUUAUAUAGACGGUCAGCUAAAUCUUUUCACUAAAAAAGGCGAAAAAUUUGAAAAAUGUAAGUUUCAGUGGGUCACUAUCAAGUUUACCUUAUCGCUAAACGUCUAUUUCGGCUAGAUGUCAGAAAAUUUAAAUAUACAGUCAGUAUAAAGCCAAUUCAGCUGGGAUGACAUGAAAGUAGAAUACUCAAUCAGCAAAAAGUAAAUUUAACUGGAUGGCUAAGACUUAGAAUGAAUGAGUAGCCAAACGUCUGGAAAUAUACAUAGUCCGUAUGAUUAGCAUAUCUAAAAAGCCAAAAGUGU
This is a long non-coding RNA of Leguminivora glycinivorella, 840 nucleotides long. RefSeq lists it as uncharacterized. NCBI's taxonomy places the organism in Eukaryota, Metazoa, Arthropoda, Insecta, Lepidoptera, Tortricidae. The transcript has 3 exons. The record is from RefSeq and is a predicted model, not a curated record.